GAUCCUGAAACUGAAAGUUACCCCCUGCCCAUGAUCCAUCAGCUUUCUUCAAGAUCACUUCCAUCAUAGCCACUUGGUUGUUGGGUACCUUAACAGCAAGCAGGCGGCACUGUUCAAAAGAAUGAUUUGGGAAGCAAUGAACAAGGACUAUGAUAAGGGGAAGAGUAGAAAACGAGCCAGAAUGGCCAAGAAAGCUGCUCCUGCUAAAAAGCCAGAAAAGGCUGUCAAAGUUUCUACUGUGAUGGAUACU
This is a non-coding RNA of Prunus mume (Japanese apricot), 250 nucleotides long. Lineage: Eukaryota; Viridiplantae; Streptophyta; Magnoliopsida; Rosales; Rosaceae. The record is from RefSeq and is a predicted model, not a curated record.